RNAcentral lists this ribosomal RNA (485 nucleotides) under uncultured Corynebacterium sp. RNAcentral describes it as "partial 16S ribosomal RNA". Lineage: Bacteria; Bacillati; Actinomycetota; Actinomycetes; Mycobacteriales; Corynebacteriaceae. The record is from RNAcentral.
CACGUAGUUAGCCGGUGCUUCUUAUCUAGGUACCGUCACAAAAAGCUUCGUCCCUAGCGAAAGGAGUUUACAACCCGAAGGCCGUCAUCCCCCACGCGGCGUCGCUGCAUCAGGCUUGCGCCCAUUGUGCAAUAUUCCCCACUGCUGCCUCCCGUAGGAGUCUGGGCCGUAUCUCAGUCCCAAUGUGGCCGUCCACCCUCUCAGGCCGGCUACCCGUCGCCGCCUUGGUAGGCCAUUACCCCACCAACAAGCUGAUAGGCCGCGAGCUCAUCCUACACCGAAAAAACUUUCCAACCAUCACACUAAAAAUGGCUCCUAUCCGGUAUUAGACCCAGUUUCCCAGGCUUAUCCCGAAGUGCAGGGCAGAUCACCCACGUGUUACUCACCCGUUCGCCACUCGAGUACCCUGCAAGCAGGGCCUUUCCGUUCGACUUGCAUGUGUUAAGCACGCCGCCAGCGUUCGUCCUGAGCCAGGAUCAAACUCU